RNAcentral lists this small nuclear RNA (195 nucleotides) under Schistocephalus solidus. Its description in RNAcentral is "U2 spliceosomal RNA". It matches the Rfam family "U2 spliceosomal RNA". From Rfam's summary of the family: U2 is a small nuclear RNA (snRNA) component of the spliceosome (involved in pre-mRNA splicing). Complementary binding between U2 snRNA (in an area lying towards the 5' end but 3' to hairpin I) and the branchpoint sequence (BPS) of the intron results the bulging out of an unpaired adenosine, on the BPS, which initiates a nucleophilic attack at the intronic 5' splice site, thus starting the first of two transesterification reactions that mediate splicing. Lineage: Eukaryota; Metazoa; Platyhelminthes; Cestoda; Diphyllobothriidea; Diphyllobothriidae. The record is from Rfam by way of RNAcentral.
ACACUGGUCUCGGCUCUCUUAGCUAAGAUCAUGUGUAGUAUCUGUUCUUUGCAGUGUAAUUUCUGCAACGGUCUCAUAAUUGAGACCAGCGAAAUUACCUGUAUUUUUCCCUACCGGACGGGUGAUAUUAGCUUGCUCAACCCCGUCCACGGGUCGGCCUCGUAUUGUAUUACCUCGAGAAUUGGCCCAUAUUCU